GAGAGAGAGAGAGAUAAGUAGAUAGAGUGCAAGUAUGUGCAGAGCAGGUAACCAGCAAAGCCCUUGACUGUGCAUUUUGUAGUGCUCUAAGCUUGUGAUUAAUUCCAAAACCCACUUAAAUAUUCAUUUGAAGAUCUUCAUUUAAAUGAGUUGAUCAACUUAUCGGUAAAGAACUUGAUUAAGUUUUAGCUUGCCAUUGCCAUUCACUACUCUGCGCCGAUAUUUUGACCUCAAUUGAUUUUCUUUUACCGUCACUAGUUUGGUAUAUCGAUGUAAAGCUUAUCGAUAUGCUUAAUAGGAAAAUACUAGUUUUUGAAAAGAGUUUUUGAAAUACUCCAAUGUGGCUUUAAUGAUUUACGAACAUUACGGAAAUGUAUGUUUGGACUCUAUGAAGGGUCCUAGGACGUGGGCGAGCCAUAGACUGAAGAUUGUGGUGCCUAACUUUAGGGUAAAUUAGAGAACUGAUGACUCGAGAAUUUCAUUGGCAUAGAUCUGUUUCAGCUCUUCUUCACCUCUCUGACGGAUUCUCAAUGCUGCUCAAGUCUAAGCCAAAUGUCAAUACAAUUGAGUCGUUACAAUAUUGAGACAGAAUAUCGGUUUUGCUAUGCUGCACUUUGUCUCUCUAUCUCUCGCUGUUCGCUUUCCCGUCGCUCUCGAUAUAAUCUAUGGAAUUUAUGUAAGCAGGCAAUAGAUACGGAGCAAUGCUGAUGCGGACACAGAUCCAGAUGCAGAUGCUUAAGAGAAUUGCAAAAGAAAAUGUCAAACAAGCUAAUAACAAGCUCAGACAGCAAGCCCGCCAGCCAGACAGCCAGAGCCUGGGAGAGAGAGAGGGGGAGAGUGUGUUUGAUUUAAGGACAUUGCUAGUGACAGUUGGAAGGCAGUUAAAGUCAACACGCAUACGCCAUGUGUGACAGGCUGCAGCAGCAGUUGUCAUUGAGGGGGCGUAGCUUAUUGAAGAUGCCUGGUCCAGGCAAGAUCGGGCAAAGGGCUGUCGAGGGGAUGACGGGGUGCUGGGGCUGCAUAGCAAGUAAUCCAUACAAAAUACUUGUACAUAUGAUGCAUAUUUCAUUGGAGGCAACAACUGCGACUGCCCAUAAUAUAUUCAUAUUCGAUAUCCAAACACACAUACACAAAUUGAAUAUGUCAUGAGGUGACGGACAGACGGACGGACGGACGAGGGUGGAGCCGUUGAGGUCAGUAUUGGUUGUCAAUUUAAUAUGAAUAAUAAGUAAUAAAUGCAUACGAUUACAAUAACAAUGA
This is a long non-coding RNA of Drosophila mojavensis, 1260 nucleotides long. RefSeq lists it as uncharacterized. The transcript is spliced from 2 exons. The record is from RefSeq and is a predicted model, not a curated record. NCBI's taxonomy places the organism in Eukaryota, Metazoa, Arthropoda, Insecta, Diptera, Drosophilidae.